This 496-nucleotide ribosomal RNA is filed under the name uncultured bacterium. RNAcentral's name for it is "partial 16S ribosomal RNA". It matches the Rfam family "Bacterial small subunit ribosomal RNA", at positions 28 to 506 of the family's 1533-position model. The record is from RNAcentral.
GACGAACGCUGGCGGCGUGCCUAAUACAUGCAAGUUGAGCGAUGAAGAUUGGUGCUUGCACCAAUUUGAAGAGCAGCGAACGGGUGAGUAACGCGUGGGGAAUCUGCCUUUGAGCGGGGGACAACAUUUGGAAACGAAUGCUAAUACCGCAUAACAACUUUAAACAUAAGUUUUAAGUUUGAAAGAUGCAAUUGCAUCACUCAAAGAUGAUCCCGCGUUGUAUUAGCUAGUUGGUGAGGUAAAGGCUCACCAAGGCGAUGAUACAUAGCCGACCUGAGAGGGGGAGGGGCAACAUGGGGGGUGGAAACGGGCCCAAACCCAUCGGGGAGGAAGGAGGGGGGAAUCUUGGGGAAUGGAGGAAAGUCUGAACGGACAAGGGCGGGGGAGUGAAGGAGGUUUUGGGAUCGAAAAACUCGGUUGGAAGAGAAAAACGUGGGGGGGAGGGGAAAGCACAUAAAGUGACGGUAACUACCCAAAAAGGGACGGCUAACUACGU